This 383-nucleotide RNase P RNA is filed under the name Holosporales bacterium. Its description in RNAcentral is "RNase P RNA component class A". It matches the Rfam family "Bacterial RNase P class A". Rfam says of the family: Ribonuclease P (RNase P) is a ubiquitous endoribonuclease, found in archaea, bacteria and eukarya as well as chloroplasts and mitochondria. The record is from RNAcentral. Lineage: Bacteria; Pseudomonadati; Pseudomonadota; Alphaproteobacteria; Holosporales.
UGUGGUAAUUGGUUGAUCGCUUUGAUUUUAGUUCAGAGAGGAAAGUCCGGGCUUCACGUAAGCAAGGCGUCGGAUAACAUCCGGCGUUGUAGGUUGAAAAACCUACAAUAGGGAAAGUGUAACAGAAAGCAUACCGCCUUUUUAAGGUAAGGGUGAAAUGGCGACGGUAAGAGCGCACCGCGUAUUAGGCGACUGAUACGGCAAGACAAACCCCGCCUGAAGCAAGACCAAAUAGGAACGAUGAGAAUAUAUUUUCGCGAGAGCUUACGGUCGUAGUCGUUCGGGUAGGUCGCUUGAGCUUAUUGGCGACAAUAAGCCUAGAUGAAUGAUCAAACAGAAGAGGAAUCUUUGGACAGAACCCGGCUUAUAGAUUACCGCGCUUG